CACGUAGGCGGAUAUUUAAGUCAGGGGGUGAAAUCCCCAGAGCUCAACUCUGGAACUGCCUUUGAUACUGGGUAUCUUGAGUAUGGAAGAGGUAAGUGGAAUUCCGAGUGUAGAGGUGAAAUUCGUAGAUAUUCGGAGGAACACCAGUGGCGAAGGCGGCUUACUGGUCCAUUACUGACGCUGAGGUGCGAAAGCGUGGGGAGCAAACA
Molecule: ribosomal RNA, 209 nt
Filed under: uncultured bacterium
Lineage: Bacteria
Description: partial 16S ribosomal RNA
Rfam family: Bacterial small subunit ribosomal RNA
Source: RNAcentral